RNAcentral lists this ribosomal RNA (460 nucleotides) under uncultured bacterium. Its description in RNAcentral is "partial 16S ribosomal RNA". It matches the Rfam family "Bacterial small subunit ribosomal RNA", at positions 338 to 795 of the family's 1533-position model. The record is from RNAcentral.
CCUACGGGAGGCAGCAGUGAGGAAUAUUGGUCAAUGGGCGCGAGCCUGAACCAGCCAAGUAGCGUGAAGGAUGACUGCCCUACGGGUUGUAAACUUCUUUUAUAAAGGAAUACAGUGAGGCACGUGUGCCUUUUUGUAUGUACUUUAUGAAUAAGGAUCGGCUAACUCAGUGCCAGUAGCCGCGGUAAUACGGAGGAUCCGAGCGUUAUCCGGGUUUAUUGGGUUUAAACGGGGCGUAGAGGGGUUGUUAAGUCCGUUGUUAAAGUUUGCGGGUCAACCGUAAAAUUGCUAUUGAUACUGUCAGCCUUGAGUGCAGUUGAGGUAGGUGGAAUUCGAGGUGUAGCGGUGAAAUGCGUAGAUAGCACGAGGAACUCCGAUGGCGAAGGCGGCCUACUAGACUGCCACUGACAUUGAUGCUCGAAAGUGUGGGUAUCAAACAGGAUUAGAUACCCCUGUAGUC